Molecule: ribosomal RNA, 484 nt
Filed under: uncultured bacterium
Lineage: Bacteria
Description: partial 16S ribosomal RNA
Rfam family: Bacterial small subunit ribosomal RNA
Source: RNAcentral
AUUGAACGCUGGCGGCAUGCUUUACACAUGCAAGUCGAACGGUAACAGGGAGCUUGCUCUGCUGUCGAGUGGCGAACGGGUGAGUAAUAUAUCGGAACGUACCCAAGCUUGGGGGAUAACGUAACUAAAGUUACGCUAAUACCGCAUACGAUCUUAUGAUGAAAGCAGUGGUUCUUCGGGCCUUGUGCUCCUUGCGCUGCCGAUUUCGCAUUUGCUAGUUGGUUAGGUAAAGGAUUACCAAGGCGACGAGCAAUAGCUGAUGUGAGAGGACGACCUGCCAAACGGGAACUGAGACGCGGUCCAGACUACUACGGGAGGCAGCAGUAGGGAAUGUUCAGCAAUGGGCGGAAGACUGACGGAGCAACGCCGCGUGAGUGAUGAAGGUCUUCGGAUAGUAAAACUCUGUUAUUAGGGAAGAAAAUAGGUGUAAGUAACUGGGCACAUCUUGACGGUACCUAAUCAGAAAGCCACGGCUAACUACGUG